GAGUUUGAUCUUGGCUCAGAUUGAACGCUGGCGGCAGGCCUAACACAUGCAAGUCGAGCGGUAGAGAGAAGCUUGCUUCUCUUGAGAGCGGCGGACGGGUGAGUAAUGCCUAGGAAUCUGCCUGGUAGUGGGGGGAUAACGCUCGGAAACGGACGCUAAUACCGCAUACGUCCUACGGGAGAAAGCAGGGGACCUUCGGGCCUUGCGCUAUCAGAUGAGCCUAGGUCGGAUUAGCUAGUUGGUGAGGUAAUGGCUCACCAAGGCGACGAUCCGUAACUGGUCUGAGAGGAUGAUCAGUCACACUGGAACUGAGACACGGUCCAGAC
This 326-nucleotide ribosomal RNA is filed under the name uncultured bacterium. RNAcentral describes it as "bacterial SSU rRNA". It matches the Rfam family "Bacterial small subunit ribosomal RNA", at positions 9 to 336 of the family's 1533-position model. The record is from RNAcentral.